Molecule: unclassified non-coding RNA, 327 nt
Filed under: uncultured fungus
Lineage: Eukaryota; Fungi
Description: partial contains 5.8S ribosomal RNA and internal transcribed spacer 2
Rfam family: 5.8S ribosomal RNA (bases 1-133)
Source: RNAcentral
UGGUUCUGGCAUCGAUGAAGAACGCAGCGAAAUGCGAUAAGUAAUGCGAAUUGCAGAAUUCAGUGAGUCAUCGAAUCUUUGAACGCACAUUGCGCCCUUUGGUAUUCCGAAGGGCAUGCCUGUUCGAGCGUCAUUAUCAACCCUCAAGCUUGGCUUGCUGUUGGACCGUCGUCUUCACAGACGGGUCUCAAAGACAAUGACGGAGUCGGUUGGACCCUAGAUGCAACGAGCUCCUGUAGCACGCAUUGAAAGGGACGGCGGUUCCGGUCUUAACCCCAUAAUUUUUUUUACAAGGUUGACCUCGGAUCAGGUAGGAAUACCCGCUGA